AUCCCUGUAGCGCAAUGGAUAGCGCGUUGGACUUGUAACCCAAAGAUCAUGAGUUCGAAUCUCUCCUGGGAUG
Molecule: non-coding RNA, 73 nt
Organism: Trichonephila clavata
Lineage: Eukaryota; Metazoa; Arthropoda; Arachnida; Araneae; Nephilidae
Source: the annotation of a GenBank genome assembly